CCUUGUCGACUCUCAUUCCAUAGUUGUGUAUCUGUAACUGGAUUCUGGGUGAACUGCACCUAUCAGGAUGCAAAUAGGAAGCAGCUAUAUUGGUUCUCCCCACUUCCCCUCCAAACCAGCUCUUCUUUUAUUCUUUGUUGCCCCUGGGUGAAAUCUCUGGCCGUUCUCAGGUUAUCCCAAUCACCAACAGCUAACAAGUGAAUAGCAUCUUUCCCCAAACAGGCACAGAUAUUAUCCCACUUGCUCUUCCCAUGUAAGUCACCACUUAGCCCCUUCGUAU
Molecule: long non-coding RNA, 280 nt
Filed under: Homo sapiens (human)
Lineage: Eukaryota; Metazoa; Chordata; Mammalia; Primates; Hominidae
Description: HSALNT0163967
Source: RNAcentral